GUGCUUGCUUCGGCAGCACAUAUACUAAAAUUGGAAUGUUACUGAGAAGAUUAGCAUGGCCCCUGUGCAAGGACGACAAGCAAAUGCGUGAAGCAUUCCUUAUUUUU
Otolemur garnettii (small-eared galago) is the source of this 107-nucleotide small nuclear RNA. The record is from Ensembl. NCBI's taxonomy places the organism in Eukaryota, Metazoa, Chordata, Mammalia, Primates, Galagidae.